ACCCCUUCAAUAAAAACACAAGAUCCUACAGAUUUCUGCUGACAUAUGCCCUUUAAAAUACGCAAGGUGUAAUGAAUCAGUCAACUAUCGCCAACUGUAUUGUAAAAUUGACGGAAUAGGGGGUUUAGCAAUGAGUAAUGCGUUACAAAUUUUAAGUUUGAAUCGAAGUACGUAAAUUUAUGCUGUUUCAGUGCCGUCUCACAGGGAGGUUGCCUGAUUAAACUUACUUCUUUAUUGGUGGCAAGCUUGACUCGAAUUGGAUAAUUAUUAUGAUGGAAGGGGUUUAAAAGAGAUUUUUCUAUUCAUAAAGCUUUGAAAUUAACUUUCAUGCCCAAACAAGGGCUUCAUCUUUGUCAAUAUUACCGAAACUCUAAAAACCACUGAAAUAGUUGUGCUCGUCCAUCAAAGUCUUGUAGACAAUUU
Molecule: long non-coding RNA, 423 nt
Filed under: Mytilus galloprovincialis (Mediterranean mussel)
Lineage: Eukaryota; Metazoa; Mollusca; Bivalvia; Mytilida; Mytilidae
Source: RNAcentral